This 230-nucleotide ribosomal RNA is filed under the name uncultured bacterium. Its description in RNAcentral is "partial 16S ribosomal RNA". It matches the Rfam family "Bacterial small subunit ribosomal RNA", at positions 118 to 347 of the family's 1533-position model. The record is from RNAcentral.
UGAGCAAUCUGCCCUUCUCAUCGGAAUAACCAUUGGAAACGAUGGCUAAUGCCGAAUACGACCUCCUUUCGCAUGAUCGGAGGUGGAAAGCUCCGGCGGAGAAGGAUGAGCUCGCGGCCUAUCAGCUAGUUGGUGUGGGUAAUGGCCCACCAAGGCGACGACGGGUAGCCGGCCUGAGAGGGUGACCGGCCACACUGGGACUGAGACACGGCCCAGACCUCCGUAGGGAG